Molecule: ribosomal RNA, 487 nt
Filed under: uncultured bacterium
Lineage: Bacteria
Description: partial 16S ribosomal RNA
Rfam family: Bacterial small subunit ribosomal RNA
Source: RNAcentral
GAUGAACGCUAGCGAUAGGCUUAACACAUGCAAGUCGAGGGGCAGCACAAGGUAGCUUGCUAUCUGGGUGGCGACCGGCGCACGGGUGCGUAACGCGUAUGCAACUUGCCCUAUACAGGAGGAUAACCCGUCGAAAGACGGACUAAUACUGCGUAUGCUCACAACUUGGCAUCCAGUGGUGAGGAAAGAAAUUCGGUAUAGGAUAGGCAUGCGUCCCAUUAGCUUGUUGGUGAGGUAACGGCUCACCAAGGCAACGAUGGGUAGGGGAACUGAGAGGUUUAUCCCCCACACUGGUACUGAGACACGGACCAGACUCCUACGGGAGGCAGCAGUGAGGAAUAUUGGUCAAUGGGCGCGAGCCUGAACCAGCCAAGUCGCGUGAAGGAUGACUGUCUUAUGGAUUGUAAACUUCUUUUAUACGGGAAUAACAAGAGUAACGUGUGACUCCCUGCAUGUACCGUAUGAAUAAGCAUCGGCUAACUCCGUG